RNAcentral lists this ribosomal RNA (497 nucleotides) under uncultured bacterium. Its description in RNAcentral is "partial 16S ribosomal RNA". It matches the Rfam family "Bacterial small subunit ribosomal RNA", at positions 28 to 507 of the family's 1533-position model. The record is from RNAcentral.
GACGAACGCUGGCGGCGUGCCUAAUACAUGCAAGUUGAGCGCUGAAGGUUGGUACUUGUACCAACUGGAUGAGCAGCGAACGGGUGAGUAACGCGUGGGGAAUCUGCCUUUGAGCGGGGGACAACAUUUGGAAACGAAUGCUAAUACCGCAUAAAAACUUUAAACACAAGUUUUAAGUUUGAAAGAUGCAAUUGCAUCACUCAAAGAUGAUCCCGCGUUGUAUUAGCUAGUUGGUGAGGUAAAGGCUCACCAAGGCGAUGAUACAUAGCCGGCCUGAGAGGGUGGUCCGCCACAUUGGGACUGAGACACGGCCCAAACUCCUACGGGGGGCAGCAGUAGGGAAACUUCGGCAAUGGACGAAAGUCUGACCGAGCAACGCCGCGUGAGUGAAGAAGGUUUUCGGAUCGUAAAACUCUGUUGGUAGAGAAGAAAGUUGGUGAGAGUGGAAAGCUCAUCAAGUGACGGUAACUACCCAGAAAGGGACGGCUAACUACGUG